RNAcentral lists this ribosomal RNA (497 nucleotides) under uncultured bacterium. RNAcentral's name for it is "partial 16S ribosomal RNA". It matches the Rfam family "Bacterial small subunit ribosomal RNA", at positions 28 to 507 of the family's 1533-position model. The record is from RNAcentral.
GAUGAACGCUGGCGGCGUGCCUAAUACAUGCAAGUCGAGCGAACAGAUGAGGAGCUUGCUCCUCUGACGUUAGCGGCGGACGGGUGAGUAACACGUGGAUAACCUACCUAUAAGACUGGGAUAACUUCGGGAAACCGGAGCUAAUACCGGAUAAUAUAUUGAACCGCAUGGUUCAAUAGUGAAAGACGGUUUUGCUGUCACUUAUAGAUGGAUCCGCGCCGCAUUAGCUAGUUGGUAAGGUAACGGCUUACCAAGGCAACGAUGCGUAGCCGACCUGAGAGGGUGAUCGGCCACACUGGAACUGAGACACGGUCCAGACUCCUACGGGAGGCAGCAGUAGGGAAUCUUCCGCAAUGGGCGAAAGCCUGACGGAGCAACGCCACGUGAGUGAUGAAGGUCUUCGGAUCGUAAAACUCUGUUAUUAGGGAAGAACAAAUGUGUAAGUAACUAUGCACGUCUUGACGGUACCUAAUCAGAAAGCCACGGCUAACUACGUG